This 1413-nucleotide ribosomal RNA is filed under the name Lacticaseibacillus rhamnosus. RNAcentral's name for it is "bacterial SSU rRNA". It matches the Rfam family "Bacterial small subunit ribosomal RNA", at positions 62 to 1440 of the family's 1533-position model. The record is from RNAcentral. Lineage: Bacteria; Bacillati; Bacillota; Bacilli; Lactobacillales; Lactobacillaceae.
UCGAACGAGUUCUGAUUAUUGAAAGGUGCUUGCAUCUUGAUUUAAUUUUGAACGAGUGGCGGACGGGUGAGUAACACGUGGGUAACCUGCCCUUAAGUGGGGGAUAACAUUUGGAAACAGAUGCUAAUACCGCAUAAAUCCAAGAACCGCAUGGUUCUUGGCUGAAAGAUGGCGUAAGCUAUCGCUUUUGGAUGGACCCGCGGCGUAUUAGCUAGUUGGUGAGGUAACGGCUCACCAAGGCAAUGAUACGUAGCCGAACUGAGAGGUUGAUCGGCCACAUUGGGACUGAGACACGGCCCAAACUCCUACGGGAGGCAGCAGUAGGGAAUCUUCCACAAUGGACGCAAGUCUGAUGGAGCAACGCCGCGUGAGUGAAGAAGGCUUUCGGGUCGUAAAACUCUGUUGUUGGAGAAGAAUGGUCGGCAGAGUAACUGUUGUCGGCGUGACGGUAUCCAACCAGAAAGCCACGGCUAACUACGUGCCAGCAGCCGCGGUAAUACGUAGGUGGCAAGCGUUAUCCGGAUUUAUUGGGCGUAAAGCGAGCGCAGGCGGUUUUUUAAGUCUGAUGUGAAAGCCCUCGGCUUAACCGAGGAAGUGCAUCGGAAACUGGGAAACUUGAGUGCAGAAGAGGACAGUGGAACUCCAUGUGUAGCGGUGAAAUGCGUAGAUAUAUGGAAGAACACCAGUGGCGAAGGCGGCUGUCUGGUCUGUAACUGACGCUGAGGCUCGAAAGCAUGGGUAGCGAACAGGAUUAGAUACCCUGGUAGUCCAUGCCGUAAACGAUGAAUGCUAGGUGUUGGAGGGUUUCCGCCCUUCAGUGCCGCAGCUAACGCAUUAAGCAUUCCGCCUGGGGAGUACGACCGCAAGGUUGAAACUCAAAGGAAUUGACGGGGGCCCGCACAAGCGGUGGAGCAUGUGGUUUAAUUCGAAGCAACGCGAAGAACCUUACCAGGUCUUGACAUCUUUUGAUCACCUGAGAGAUCAGGUUUCCCCUUCGGGGGCAAAAUGACAGGUGGUGCAUGGUUGUCGUCAGCUCGUGUCGUGAGAUGUUGGGUUAAGUCCCGCAACGAGCGCAACCCUUAUGACUAGUUGCCAGCAUUUAGUUGGGCACUCUAGUAAGACUGCCGGUGACAAACCGGAGGAAGGUGGGGAUGACGUCAAAUCAUCAUGCCCCUUAUGACCUGGGCUACACACGUGCUACAAUGGAUGGUACAACGAGUUGCGAGACCGCGAGGUCAAGCUAAUCUCUUAAAGCCAUUCUCAGUUCGGACUGUAGGCUGCAACUCGCCUACACGAAGUCGGAAUCGCUAGUAAUCGCGGAUCAGCACGCCGCGGUGAAUACGUUCCCGGGCCUUGUACACACCGCCCGUCACACCAUGAGAGUUUGUAACACCCGAAGCCGGUGGCGUAACC